GAUGAAGAACGUAGCGAAAUGCGAUAAGUAAUGUGAAUUGCAGAAUUCAGUGAAUCAUCGAAUCUUUGAACGCACAUUGCGCCCGCCAGUAUUCUGGCGGGCAUGCCUGUCCGAGCGUCAUUUCAACCCUCGAACCCCUCCGGGGGGUCGGCGUUGGGGAUCGGCCCUUUCACCGGGUGCCGGCCCCUAAAUACAGUGGCGGUCUCGCCGCAGCCUCUCAUGCGCAGUAGUUUGCACACUCGCACCGGGAGCGCGGCGCGUCCACGUCCGUAAAACACCCCAACUUCUGAAAUGUUGACCUCGGAUCAGGUAGGAAUACCCGCUAAACUUAAGCAUAUCAAUAAGCGGAGGA
Molecule: unclassified non-coding RNA, 352 nt
Filed under: soil metagenome
Description: partial contains 5.8S ribosomal RNA, internal transcribed spacer 2, and large subunit ribosomal RNA
Rfam family: 5.8S ribosomal RNA (bases 1-120)
Source: RNAcentral